GUAGUCAUAUGCUUGUCUCAAAGAUUAAGCCAUGCAUGUGUAAGUAUAAGUAUUGUACAGCGAAACUGCGAAUGGCUCAUUAAAACAGUUAUUGUUUAUUUGAUAAUCGAAAGUUACAUGGAUAACCGUGACAAAUUACAGCUAAUACAUGCAUUCAGACCUCUAUGAGGUUGUAAUUAUUAGUACUAAACCAAUUCCUUCGGGAAUGUGAUGAAUCAUAGUAAUCGAACGAAUCGCAGAUUUCUGCGAUAAAUCAUUCAAGUUUCUGCCCUAUUAGCUUUGGAUGGUAGUGUAUUGGACUACCAUGGCAAUCAUGGGUAACGGAGAAUUAAGGUUCGAUUCCGGAGAGGGAGCCUGAGAAAUGGCUACCACAUCUACGGAAGGCAGCAGGCGCGAAAAUUGCCCAAUCCUGAUUCAGGGAGGCAGUGACAAGAAAUAACAACUCUCAACUAUGUUGAGAAGUGUAAUGAGGAUAAUUUACAAACCUUACCGAAAGCAAUUGGAGGGCAAGUCUGGUGCCAGCAGCC
This 527-nucleotide ribosomal RNA is filed under the name uncultured eukaryote. Its description in RNAcentral is "SSU rRNA". It matches the Rfam family "Eukaryotic small subunit ribosomal RNA", at positions 20 to 575 of the family's 1831-position model. The record is from RNAcentral.